GCCCUACUCAGUAUGGUAGUUAUGACACUCGCCUUGUAAUCGAGUGGAUUCGUGUUCGAAUUCCGAGUAAGGCA
Non-coding RNA from Trichonephila inaurata madagascariensis, 74 nucleotides. NCBI's taxonomy places the organism in Eukaryota, Metazoa, Arthropoda, Arachnida, Araneae, Nephilidae. The record is from the annotation of a GenBank genome assembly.